Erpetoichthys calabaricus (reedfish) is the source of this 444-nucleotide long non-coding RNA. RefSeq lists it as uncharacterized. The transcript is spliced from 3 exons. NCBI's taxonomy places the organism in Eukaryota, Metazoa, Chordata, Cladistia, Polypteriformes, Polypteridae. The record is from RefSeq and is a predicted model, not a curated record.
UCAUAGCUCCAACACAGCACUAUUGGCUCUGACAAACACCAGGUACUCAAAAAAUCAUUUACCUUAAUUUUAUAUGGCGCCAUUCAGAGUACCAACACGACAAUAUAAGCUCUAACAAAUACCAGGUACUCAAUACAUCAUAUGCCUUAAUUCUAUACAGCGCCAUUCAUAGUAGCAACACAUCAUUAUACGCCCUGACAAACACCAGGUUUUCCACACAUCAUUAACUUAAUUCUAUAUAGUGCCAUUCACAGUACCAACACAGCACUAUAGGCUCUGACAAAUGCCAGGUACUCAAUACAUCAUUUGCCUUAAUUCUAUAUAGCGUCAUUCACAGUACCAACAUAGCACUGUAGGCUCUGACAAAUACUAGGGUUUUCAUACAUCAUUACCUUAAUUCUAUAUAGCGCCAUUCAUUGUUCUAAUACAGCACUAUAGGCUCUG